AUUUCUUCCUUGCUGUAUCUUGACAAAUUGCUAGGCAGUGACACCUCUGCUGUCUGUGGUUCCGUGGGCAGACACGUUCGGAUAUCCAUGUAGAUAACUUCUCUCCUCCCCUUCCUCUUUGCCAGCUUACUGUGGACUCGUCUUCCACACUUGCUUCUACAACUGUUGGAUUCGGCAGUUGGCAGGUCCAGCCUUUGAGCCACCAUAUAAUGAAACCCGUUGGGAACAGCCUUCUCCGGGAACCAGCUUCCUGCUCCCCCCCACAUCCCCCAGAGUAGUUUAGCUGGAUCAGUUCCUUCUCUGAGCUACUGUGCAUCUCCACAAACUCUGGAGCUGGAAAAACUGGAGGGGAAAAAGCAGCAGAGAAGAGGGAAGAGAGAAUCACAUCCCUGGUGCUGAGAUGGAUUUGUGUAUGAUACAAACAGGCACGACAUAUGCAAAACUAAAAUGACUGAUCUGUUCUGUUGCUUUAUUGCACUAAGUCAGGAUAACCGUGAGGUAUUAAGGCUCCAUUUGCAUGAUAUCUUAAAGAUUCUGUAUGUUUCUUAUGUUCUCAGGAUUUUGAAUCUCUUUCAACAGGCCACAAAACCUUCCUCAUAGACUACCAGCUUUCCUUUAUAGUAAGCAAGGUUAAGCUUUGUGACAGCAGCUCAAAAAGCAAUACUUGCGUGUACACUCUCUGACACAUCAUUAUUCUGUGAUAUGUAUCAAAGCUCCCCUCUUUUUAUCAGAUUGGAGAAUUGUCCCAUUUGUAUAACUGCUCAAAGUAAAUAAAUAAUCUAGACAAUACUAAGUGCGAAGGCAGUUGAAACUAUUCAUUGUUUGGUCUCACAUCAGGGAGAAAACAUGUCAAAGAACUUGUCCAAUCAGAGCAAGGUGCCAAAAUCCCCAGAUCUAGCCUUGGCAUAUGGUAUUGAACAGAUGUACUGGAUAUGAAAAAUCACAGCUGCCAGCUAGCUGAUAGCUA
Aquila chrysaetos chrysaetos is the source of this 967-nucleotide long non-coding RNA. RefSeq lists it as uncharacterized. The transcript is spliced from 3 exons. NCBI's taxonomy places the organism in Eukaryota, Metazoa, Chordata, Aves, Accipitriformes, Accipitridae. The record is from RefSeq and is a predicted model, not a curated record.